RNAcentral lists this ribosomal RNA (467 nucleotides) under uncultured bacterium. Its description in RNAcentral is "partial 16S ribosomal RNA". It matches the Rfam family "Bacterial small subunit ribosomal RNA", at positions 28 to 506 of the family's 1533-position model. The record is from RNAcentral.
GACGAACGCUGGCGGCGUGCUUAACACAUGCAAGUCGAACGGAAAGGCCCUGCUUUUGUGGGGUGCUCGAGUGGCGAACGGGUGAGUAACACGUGAGUAACCUGCCCUUGACUUUGGGAUAACUUCAGGAAACUGGGGCUAAUACCGGAUAGGAGCUCCUGCUGCAUGGUGGGGGUUGGAAAGUUUCGGCGGUUGGGGAUGGACUCGCGGCUUAUCAGCUUGUUGGUGGGGUAGUGGCUUACCAAGGCUUUGACGGGUAGCCGGCCUGAGAGGGUGACCGGCCACAUUGGGACUGAGAUACGGCCCAGACUCAUACGGGAGGCAGCAGUGGGGAAUAUUGCACAAUGGGCGGAAGCCGGAUGCAGCAACGCCGCGUGCGGGAUGACGGCCUUCGGGUAGUAAACCGCUUUCGCCUGUGACGAAGCGUGAGUGACGGUAAUGGGUAAAGAAGCACCGGCUAACUACGU